AGCCCAGAGCCUGAAUCAGUGUGUGUGUUAGUGGAAGCGUCUGGAAAGGCGCGCGAUACAGGGUGACAGCCCCGUACACAAAAAUGCACAUGCUGUGAGCUCGAUGAGUAGGGCGGGACACGUGGUAUCCUGUCUGAAUAUGGGGGGACCAUCCUCCAAGGCUAAAUACUCCUGACUGACCGAUAGUGAACCAGUACCGUGAGGGAAAGGCGAAAAGAACCCCGGCGAGGGGAGUGAAAAAGAACCUGAAACCGUGUACGUACAAGCAGUGGGAGCACGCUUAGGCGUGUGACUGCGUACCUUUUGUAUAAUGGGUCAGCGACUUAUAUUCUGUAGCAAGGUUAACCGAAUAGGGGAGCCGAAGGGAAACCGAGUCUUAACUGGGCGUUAAGUUGCAGGGUAUAGACCCGAAACCCGGUGAUCUAGCCAUGGGC
This 434-nucleotide ribosomal RNA is filed under the name Escherichia coli. RNAcentral describes it as "partial 23S ribosomal RNA". It matches the Rfam family "Bacterial large subunit ribosomal RNA", at positions 296 to 741 of the family's 2925-position model. Lineage: Bacteria; Pseudomonadati; Pseudomonadota; Gammaproteobacteria; Enterobacterales; Enterobacteriaceae. The record is from RNAcentral.